This 497-nucleotide ribosomal RNA is filed under the name uncultured bacterium. RNAcentral's name for it is "partial 16S ribosomal RNA". It matches the Rfam family "Bacterial small subunit ribosomal RNA", at positions 28 to 507 of the family's 1533-position model. The record is from RNAcentral.
GAUGAACGCUGGCGGCGUGCCUAAUACAUGCAAGUCGAGCGAACAGACGAGGAGCUUGCUCCUUCGACGUUAGCGGCGGACGGGUGAGUAACACGUAGGUAACCUACCUAUAAGACUGGGAUAACUUUGGGAAACCGGAGCUAAUACCGGAUAAUAUUUCGAACCGCAUGGUUCGAUAGUGAAAGAUGGCUUUGCUAUCACUUAUAGAUGGACCUGCGCCGUAUUAGCUAGUUGGUAAGGUAACGGCUUACCAAGGCAACGAUACGUAGCCGACCUGAGAGGGUGAUCGGCCACACUGGAACUGAGACACGGUCCAGACUCCUACGGGAGGCAGCAGUAGGGAAUCUUCCGCAAUGGGCGAAAGCCUGACGGAGCAACGCCGCGUGAGUGAUGAAGGUCUUCGGAUCGUAAAACUCUGUUAUUAGGGAAGAACAAACGUGUAAGCAACUGUGCACGUCUUGACGGUACCUAAUCAGAAAGCCACGGCUAACUACGUG